Molecule: ribosomal RNA, 245 nt
Filed under: uncultured Parachlamydia sp.
Lineage: Bacteria; Pseudomonadati; Chlamydiota; Chlamydiia; Parachlamydiales; Parachlamydiaceae
Description: partial 16S ribosomal RNA
Rfam family: Bacterial small subunit ribosomal RNA
Source: RNAcentral
UACGGAGGGUGCAAGCAUUAAUCGGAUUUAUUGGGCGUAAAGGGCGCGUAGGCGGGGAUGUAAGUCAGAUGUGAAAUCCCGGAGCUCAACUCCGGAACAGCAUUUGAAACUGCGUCUCUUGAGGGUAGGCGGGGAAAAUGGAAUUCCACAAGUAGCGGUGAAAUGCGUAGAUAUGUGGAAGAACACCAGUGGCGAAGGCGGUUUUCUAGCUUAUUCCUGACGCUAAUGCGCGAAAGCAAGGGGAG